This 345-nucleotide unclassified non-coding RNA is filed under the name soil metagenome. RNAcentral's name for it is "partial contains 5.8S ribosomal RNA, internal transcribed spacer 2, and large subunit ribosomal RNA". The stretch from base 1 to 119 matches the Rfam family "5.8S ribosomal RNA", at positions 35 to 154 of the family's 154-position model. The record is from RNAcentral.
GAUGAAGAACGUAGCGAAAUGCGAUACGUAAUGUGAAUUGCAAAUUCAGUGAAUCAUCGAGUCUUUGAACGCACAUUGCGACCCCUGGUAUUCCGGGGGGCAUGCCUGUCCGAGCGUCAUUGCUGCCCUCAAGCACGGCUUGUGUGUUGGGCCCCGUCCUCCGAUCCCGGGGGACGGGCCCGAAAGGCAGCGGCGGCACCGCGUCCGGUCCUCGAGCGUAUGGGGCUUUGUCACCCGCUCUGUAGGCCCGGCCGGCGCUUGCCGAUCAACCCAAAUUUUUAUCCAGGUUGACCUCGGAUCAGGUAGGGAUACCCGCUGAACUUAAGCAUAUCAAUAAGCGGAGGA